This is a small nucleolar RNA of Salmo trutta (river trout), 69 nucleotides long. Its record names the gene SNORD58. It matches the Rfam family "Small nucleolar RNA SNORD58". Rfam says of the family: snoRNA U58 is found in introns 1, 3 and 6 of the ribosomal protein RPL17 gene in humans. U58 is a member of the C/D class of snoRNA which contain C (UGAUGA) and D (CUGA) box motifs. Most of the members of the box C/D family function in directing site-specific 2'-O-methylation of substrate RNAs. The record is from Ensembl. NCBI's taxonomy places the organism in Eukaryota, Metazoa, Chordata, Actinopteri, Salmoniformes, Salmonidae.
UUGCAACGCUGACUUCUUAGGACACCUUUGGAUUGCCCAUGAAAAUAAAUGUAAGAAAAUAUGAGCAAC